AAACAAACAUACUCAAAGAGUAAAAAUGUCAAAAAUAGGGGUACAACAGUCAAUGUUGUGUUAUCAUCUUAAUAUCACUACAUAAACAACAAAUGUAACAAAGUAGCACAAAAAGGCAUACAUCAAAUUCAACAUUCUCAUUUUGCUUUUCCUAUACGGCUGAAUUUAUCUAUGUAAAGUCUACCCAUAAAUGAAAGAAGGUUUUCAUUACUGGUGUAAAAUUGCGCGUUUGAAAUUCGC
RNAcentral lists this long non-coding RNA (240 nucleotides) under Mytilus galloprovincialis (Mediterranean mussel). Lineage: Eukaryota; Metazoa; Mollusca; Bivalvia; Mytilida; Mytilidae. The record is from RNAcentral.